CGGGAGUAACAACCUGGAAACAAGAUGCUAAUACCGGAUAACAACAGAUGAUGCCUAUCAACUGUUUAAAAGAUGGUUCUGCUAUCACUCUUGGAUGGACCUGCGGUGCAUUAGCUAGUUGGUAGGGUAACGGCCUACCAAGGCGAUGAUGCAUAGCCGAGUUGAGAGACUGAUCGGCCACAUUGGGACUGAGACACGGCCCAGACUCCUACGGGAGGCAGCAGAC
This 226-nucleotide ribosomal RNA is filed under the name uncultured Lactobacillus sp. Its description in RNAcentral is "partial 16S ribosomal RNA". It matches the Rfam family "Bacterial small subunit ribosomal RNA", at positions 138 to 354 of the family's 1533-position model. Lineage: Bacteria; Bacillati; Bacillota; Bacilli; Lactobacillales; Lactobacillaceae. The record is from RNAcentral.